AGUAAUGUAUCGGAACGUGCCCAGUCGUGGGGGAUAACUGCUCGAAAGAGCAGCUAAUACCGCAUACGACCCGAGGGUGAAAGCGGGGGAUCGCAAGACCUCGCGCGAUUGGAGCGGCCGAUAUCAGAUUAGGUAGUUGGUGAGGUAAAGGCUCACCAAGCCGACGAUCUGUAGCUGGUCUGAGAGGACGACCAGCCACACUGGGACUGAGACACGGCCCAG
RNAcentral lists this ribosomal RNA (222 nucleotides) under uncultured bacterium. Its description in RNAcentral is "partial 16S ribosomal RNA". It matches the Rfam family "Bacterial small subunit ribosomal RNA", at positions 109 to 334 of the family's 1533-position model. The record is from RNAcentral.